RNAcentral lists this long non-coding RNA (1317 nucleotides) under Oncorhynchus mykiss (rainbow trout). RNAcentral's name for it is "lncRNA (ENSOMYG00000054177.1)". The record is from RNAcentral. Lineage: Eukaryota; Metazoa; Chordata; Actinopteri; Salmoniformes; Salmonidae.
AUUUUAGACUAUGCAUACAGACAUACAGAUAAAGCUAUUGACUGUUAUGUUAGUUUACAACCUGUUAACUCUUAACUCAUGUGUAGACAUGAUUAACCUGUUAACUCACCUGUGUAGACAUAAUUAACCUGUGAACUCACCUGUGUAGACAUGAUUAGCUACAUUGAUCUGACUAGUGUGCCACAAGAUAGAACUAUAGUCAGUGGUGCAGUGGAGGUAUACUCAGGAAUCCCCCAGAUUCCCACUUAUUUCCCAGUGGGCAUUGCGUUUACACACCUCUUAAUCCCCAGGAUGCGUAUCAAAGUAGUGUAGUGGAGGUAUACGCUGCAUCAAUGAAUAAGCCUGAACAGAUCAGAAUGUUUAGCAUUACAAUGUAGAUAAACUGUUGUUUCUUCACAUUUUAAGUGCAGCAAUGUGCACAUGGCGGUAGACCUAGAACAGUGCAAAUGUUACAACAUGUCAUUUGUGGGGAAAAAAGACUGUUCUAAAAUGCACACUGUACAUGUGAAUGGUUUCAUGUUACAGAUGGAAAUAUCCAUUAGACUGUAGACUGCUGCUGGCCCGUUCGUGGUAAGGAACCACAUUACAGAUGGAAAUAUCCAUUAGACUGUAGACUGCUGCUGGCCCGUUCGUGGUAAGGAACCACAUUACAGAUGGAAAUAUCCAUUAGACUGCAGACUGCUGCUGGCCCGUUCGUGGUAAGGAACCACAUUACAGAUGGAAAUAUCCAUUAGACUGCAGACUGCUGCUGGCCCGUUCGUGGUAAGGAACCGCAUUACAGAUGGAAAUAUCCAUUAGACUGCUGCUGGCCCGUUCGUGGUAAGGAACCACAUUACAGAUGGAAAUAUCCAUUAGACUGCUGCUGGCCCGUUCGUGGUAAGGAACCACAUUACAGAUGGAAAUAUCCAAUAGAAAUGUAGAAAAAUGGGAGAUCUAAAGAUACAACAACUAUCAUGGGUUGUUAGGGGAGAUCUAAAGAUACAACAACUAUCAUGGGUUGUUAGGGGAGAUCUAAAGAUACAACAACUAUCAUGGGUUGUUAGGGGAGAUCUAAACUAUCAUGGGUUGUCUUCCAGAACACCAUUAGGUGCUCACUGCUUGUCUUCCAGAACACCAUUAGGUGCUCACUGCUUGUCUUCCAGAACACCAUUAGGUGCUCACUGCUUGUCUUCCAGAACACCAUUAGGUGCUCACUGCUUGUCUUCCAGAACACCAUUAGGUGCUCACUGCCUGUCUUCCAGAACACCAUUAGGUGCUCACUGCUUGUCUUCCAGAACACCAUUAGGUGCUCACUGCUUGUCUUCCAGACACCAUUAG